RNAcentral lists this ribosomal RNA (460 nucleotides) under uncultured bacterium. RNAcentral's name for it is "partial 16S ribosomal RNA". It matches the Rfam family "Bacterial small subunit ribosomal RNA", at positions 338 to 795 of the family's 1533-position model. The record is from RNAcentral.
CCUACGGGAGGCAGCAGUGAGGAAUAUUGGUCAAUGGACGAGAGUCUGAACCAGCCAAGUAGCGUGAAGGAUGACUGCCCUAUGGGUUGUAAACUUCUUUUAUAUGGGAAUAAAACGUUCCACGUGUGGGAUUUUGUAUGUACCAUAUGAAUAAGGAUCGGCUAACUCCGUGCCAGCAGCCGCGGUAAUACGGAGGAUCCGAGCGUUAUCCGGAUUUAUUGGGUUUAAAGGGAGCGUAGGUGGAUUGUUAAGUCAGUUGUGAAAGUUUGCGGCUCAACCGUAAAAUUGCAGUUGAAACUGGCAGUCUUGAGUACAGUAGAGGUGGGCGGAAUUCGUGGUGUAGCGGUGAAAUGCUUAGAUAUCACGAAGAAAUCCGAUUGCGAAGGCAGUUCACUGGACUGCAACUGACACUGAGGCUCGAAAGUGUGGGUAUCAAACAGGAUUAGAUACCCUAGUAGUC